GGGGAAUCUUGCGCAAUGGGCGAAAGCCUGACGCAGCAACGCCGCGUGCGGGAUGACGGCCUUCGGGUUGUAAACCGCUUUCGACAGGGACGAAAUUGACGGUACCUGUAGAAGAAGCCCCGGCCAACUACGUGCCAGCAGCCGCGGUAACACGUAGGGGGCGAGCGUUGUCCGGAUUUAUUGGGCGUAAAGAGCUCGUAGGCGGCUCGGUAAGUCAUCUGUGAAAGCUCCAGGCUCAACCUGGAGAGGCCAGAUGAUACUGCUGUGGCUAGAGUCCGGUAGGGGAGCGUGGAAUUCCCGGUGUAGCGGUGGAAUGCGCAGAUAUCGGGAGGAACACCAGUGGCGAAGGCGGCGCUCUGGGCCGGAACUGACGCUGAGGAGCGAAAGCAUGGGUAGCAAAC
RNAcentral lists this ribosomal RNA (401 nucleotides) under uncultured bacterium. RNAcentral's name for it is "bacterial SSU rRNA". It matches the Rfam family "Bacterial small subunit ribosomal RNA", at positions 356 to 773 of the family's 1533-position model. The record is from RNAcentral.